UACUAGAGUAGCACUCGCAUAUCAAUAAGCGGAGGAAAAGAAACUAACAAGGAUUCCCCUAGUAACGGCGAGUGAAGCGGGAAGAGCUCAAAUUUGAAAUCUUAAAGGGUUUCCCUUUACGAAUUGUAGUUUAAAGAAGUGUUUUCUGUUGAGGUUUUGGUAAAAGUUCUUUGGAAUAGGACAUCAUAGAGGGUGAGAAUCCCGUAUUUGACCUUUACUUUCAACUUUGUGAUACACUUUCAAAGAGUCGGAUUGUUUGGGAAUGCAGUCCAAAAUGGGUGGUAAAUUUCAUCUAAAGCUAAAUAUUGGCGAGAGACCGAUAGCGAACAAGUACCGUGAGGGAAAGAUGAAAAGAACUUUGAAAAGAGAGUUAAACAGUACGUGAAAUUGUCAAAAGGGAAGCGUUUGACACCAGUGCUGUUUUUCUGAAAAUCAAUUAAAGAACUGUUUAUGCUAAGUUGUUUAGACUUUAUCAGCUAUCUGUUUAGUUUUGAGCUUUUCUUUAAUGCACUUUUCAGUUAACAAGUCAACAUCAAUUUCUUUUGCUGUAAAAAAGCUUGAGGAAGGUGGCUUGAGAUUCGUCUUAAGUGUUUAUAGCCUCUUGCCUAUGCAGUCGGAGAGAUUGAGGUCUGCAGCGUAGAUCCUUCGGGGCUAAAUGCAUUUGUGCUAAGUUAUAGCAUUUUAUAGACAACUUGUUGACUAUGAUUUGUCUUGUAGCUUACUCGCUUAUGUUAUUUUACCUACGCUUAGGAUGUUGAGCGCAUGUCUCUCUCUG
Molecule: ribosomal RNA, 775 nt
Filed under: uncultured Neocallimastigales
Lineage: Eukaryota; Fungi; Neocallimastigomycota; Neocallimastigomycetes; Neocallimastigales
Description: partial large subunit ribosomal RNA
Rfam family: Eukaryotic large subunit ribosomal RNA
Source: RNAcentral